GGUGAGUAACACGUGAGCAACCUGCCCUCCACUUCGGGAUAAGCCCUGGAAACGGGGUCUAAUACCGGAUAUGAGCUUCCACCGCAUGGUGGGGGUUGGAAAGUUUUUCGGUGGGGGAUGGGCUCGCGGCCUAUCAGCUUGUUGGUGGGGUGAUGGCCUACCAAGGCGUCGACGGGUAGCCGGCCUGAGAGGGCGACCGGCCACACUGGGACUGAGACACGGCCCAGACUCCUACGGGAGGCAGCAGUGGGGAAUAUUGCACAAUGGGCGCAAGCCUGAUGCAGCGACGCCGCGUGAGGGAUGACGGCCUUCGGGUUGUAAACCUCUUUCAGCAGGGAAGAAGCGCAAGUGACGGUACCUGCAGAAGAAGCGCCGGCUAACUACGUGCCAGCAGCCGCGGUAAUACGUAGGGCGCAAGCGUUGUCCGGAAUUAUUGGGCGUAAAGAGCUCGUAGGCGGUCUGUCGCGUCUGGUGUGAAAACCCGAGGCUCAACCUCGGGCUGGCAUCGGGUACGGGCGGACUAGAGUGCUGUAGGGGAGACUGGAAUUCCUGGUGUAGCGGUGGAAUGCGCAGAUAUCAGGAGGAACACCGAUGGCGAAGGCAGGUCUCUGGGCAGUUACUGACGCUGAGGAGCGAAAGCA
Molecule: ribosomal RNA, 641 nt
Filed under: Xylanimonas pachnodae
Lineage: Bacteria; Bacillati; Actinomycetota; Actinomycetes; Micrococcales; Promicromonosporaceae
Description: bacterial SSU rRNA
Rfam family: Bacterial small subunit ribosomal RNA
Source: RNAcentral